This 253-nucleotide ribosomal RNA is filed under the name uncultured bacterium. RNAcentral describes it as "partial 16S ribosomal RNA". It matches the Rfam family "Bacterial small subunit ribosomal RNA", at positions 524 to 776 of the family's 1533-position model. The record is from RNAcentral.
GACAGAGGGUGCAAACGUUGUUCGGAAUUACUGGGCGUAAAGCGCGUGUAGGCGGCUCCGCAAGUCGGGUGUGAAAGCCCUGGGCUCAACCCAGGAAGUGCACUCGAAACUGCGAGGCUAGAGUACUGGAGAGGUUGGUGGAAUUCUCGGUGUAGAGGUGAAAUUCGUAGAUAUCGAGAGGAACACCGGUGGCGAAGGCGGCCAACUGGACAGAUACUGACGCUGAGACUCGAAAGCGUGGGGAGCAAACAGG